This 398-nucleotide ribosomal RNA is filed under the name Anaulacomera sp. 'bronco'. RNAcentral's name for it is "partial 12S ribosomal RNA". It matches the Rfam family "Microsporidia small subunit ribosomal RNA", at positions 752 to 1220 of the family's 1311-position model. The record is from RNAcentral. Lineage: Eukaryota; Metazoa; Arthropoda; Insecta; Orthoptera; Tettigoniidae.
UAUUAUUUUAAUUCUAAAUAUUUGAGACUUGAGUAGUAUUAGUUAAGGUCUUGAAACUCAAAGGAUUUGGCGGUGUUUCAGUCUUUUCAGAGGAAUCUGUCUUGUAAUCGAUAAUACACGUUAAAUUAUACUUAAUUUUGUUUACAGCUUGUAUACCGCCGUCAUAAGAAUAUCUUUUUAGGGAAAAAUAUUCAGAAUAUUAAUUAAAUAGGAUGUCAGGUCAAGGUGCAGUUUAUAAUUAAGGGUUGGAUGGAUUACAUUGGUAUUAUUCAAACGGAUUUUGUAAUGUAAUUUGUGAGUUGAAGGUGGAUUUGAAAGUAAUUUUGUUAUAUUAUGAUAAUAUGAUUAAAGCGCUGUAACAUGCACACAUCGCCCGUCACUCUCGUUAUUAAGGUGAG